RNAcentral lists this long non-coding RNA (4910 nucleotides) under Olea europaea subsp. europaea. Lineage: Eukaryota; Viridiplantae; Streptophyta; Magnoliopsida; Lamiales; Oleaceae. The record is from RNAcentral.
GUUAACAGUCAGUUGAGCAAAGUUCAUUUCUUCGUAUUUAUAUAGCAUUGCAGUACAUUAUAAUCGAACACAUUUUCUGAUCGAAUAAAAUUCAGUACAAUUCUCUCCAUUCUAUUCAAUAUGGUAUCAUAGCUUUAGUAUGCUUUUUCUAUUUGCGUUUUUCCAAUUCCUUUGGGAACUCUUAUUCAUUAAACAAUUGUGUUCAAAACCUUUCUAAUUCAUCAUGGCAACAAAUAUAGAUGCCUCAAAUCAGAAUCAAUCGUCCUCAUCAAUUUGCAAUUUCGCCAUUGAUGAUGGAUUUAGUCCAUUUUUCAUUCAUCAUGCAGAUAACCCAGGGUUUAACUUUGAUUCACAAUCUCUAAUUGGAGACAAUUAUGCUUCUUGGAAUCGAGUAGUGAUGAUUGUUUUGCUGUAAACAACAAGCUCGGAUUCAUUGAUGGAUCCAUUUCUCAGCCUGAAGGUAACGAUGACCUCCUUAAUAGCUAGAUUCAUUACAACAAUAGCGUGAUUUCAUGAUCCUUAAUUUUGUACCUAAAGAGAUAUAUGCAAGUGUCUUUUGCUCUGAUUCUGCACAUGACAUGGAUUUAUCUAAAGGAAAUAUAUCAACAGAGGAAUGGACAUCGUAUAUUUCAAUUGAGGCAUGCAUUAUUGAAUCACACAAAAGGACAAUGCUUUGUUAGGACAUAUUUCACCAAAUUGAAGAUGAUCUUGGAAGAACUAAGUAAUUACAGGCCUAUAUGCUCGUGGAUGGUGAAACUGUGGAGGAACCAAAAAACUUGCCGAACACUAUCACAUGGAGUAUGUUAUGUCAUUUCUGGUUAAAUGAUUCAUUUUCCCAAGUCAGGGGCAGUUAUUUUGAAUGGAUCCUGUGCCUCCAAUAAACAAUGUUUUCUAUCUUGUCUCUCAAGAAGAACAUCAAAGGAAUGUUAAUAUCGAUGCCUAUGUUUCUCGUUCUGGUUUUGCUGAUUCCAUGGCUUUCUACACCAAAAAUGAUCUCAAAAAAACCAAUGUAGGAUAGUUGCAUAAUAAUUUCAAAAGGAGGAAAGACCUAUUGCACAUAUUGUGGUUACGCAGGCCAUGCUGUGGACAAGUGCUAGAAAUUGCACAGUUAUCCUCCUGGAUAUAAGAUUAAGCAGAAAUCUGCAUUAGCAGCCAAUCAAAUGGUAACAAUCAAUCAAAUUAUGUUGUUGCUAAUCAAGUUUCUAUAUCUAUUUUAGAUCAAACACAGGGAAAUGUUGGAGAAUUCAUGCAGACCUUGAAUCCUACACAAUAUCAGCAUUUGAUGAAAGUGUUGAGUAGUCAUUUGGCAUCUAAAAAGAUGAUGCAGCAGCUGAUAUACAAUAUAAUCAAGUGUCAGGUACAUGUUUUUCCAUCUCACUUAAUCCAUUGCUCAAUACACCUAGACAUUGGGUAGUGGACUCAGGAACAACCAGCCACAUUUGCUUCAACGCUUUUCAUACAAUGAAACCAACACAGAAUGCUUAUGUUAUAUUGCCAAAUUGUAUGAGAAUCCCUAUAGAGUUUAUUGGUACAGUGAAAAUUGCUACGAAUCUGACACUUGAAGAUGUGUUGUUUGUGCUACAAUUCAAAUCAAUUUGUUAUCAAUUAGUUCCCUAACCAGACCUUGAGGUCAAGUUUCUGAUUGAUUCAUGCAUUAUCCAGGACCUGCACAGCUUGAAGAUGAUUGACAAGGAUAGAAAAGUUGCUGGUCUAUACAUAAUGAGUGAUAACUCAUCUGGCUUAGCACAAAGUAUUCCCUUGAAAAUGUAUGUGUAUCUAUUUCUAAUGUUGUAAAUAUGUGCACUUGGCAUCAUAGACUAGGCCACUUGUUCUUUCAAAAGUUAAACAUGAUAAAAGAUCAAUUAUAUUUAGUUUGUAAUAAGCAUAGGAAUCAUGAUUAUGUUCCUUGUGAUAUAUGCCCUUUAGCCAAACAAAGGAGACUUUCCUUUACAUUCAACAAUCAUAUGUCAACUGAUGCAUUUGACGUGAUUCUUUGUGAUACUUGGGGACCUUACCAUGUCCCAACAUACUCUAGCUACAGAUAUUUUCUUACACUCGUGGAUGACUGUACAUGUUUUACAUGAUUGUAGCUCAUGAAACAUAAAUCAAAUGUUCACUCAAUCAUUCCCAGAUUCUUUAAAAUGGUUGAGACUCAGUUUCAUAAAAUUAUCAAGAAAUUCAGGUCAGACACUGUAGCAAAGCUAUAGUUUGUUGAAUUCUUCAACUUAAAAGGAGUUAUUCAUCAAUUUUUGUGUGUGGAGAGGCCUGAACAAAAUUCAGUGGUGGAAAGAAAGCAUCAACAUCUUCUUAAUGAGGCUAGAGCUUUGUAUUUACAGGCUCGUGUACCUAUUCAUUUUUGGGGAGAAUGUAUCCUUAUAGCUACAUUUCUCAUCCAUCGAACACCAUCUUCCAUCUUAAAGAACAAAUCCCCAUGCAGCCUAUUACACAAAUCUCCAGUAGAUUAUAAUUUCCUUAGAGUAUUUGGGAAUUGCACUCUGCCUUCUCAUAGAUCAAAGUUUGAUCCCACAGCUAGAGCCUAUGUAUUUAUUGGUUAUCCCCUAGGUAUAAAAGGUUAUAGACUAUAUGAUACCAUGUCUAAGUCUUUCUUAAUAUCCAGGGAUGUUGUUUUCUAUGAAAAUGUAUUUCCAUUCCAUUUCUCAGAAAUUUGACAAUAUUGAUCAUUUUCCUAAUAUUAUUUUACCUAAAAUUGCUUCUGAUAUACCCAAUUACUUUUCAUCUACCAUCACACCUCCUAUAAUACCUAUUGAGGUUGCAAGUGAUUUACAACUUCAUCCACUUCCAAUCAAUGACCAUUCGUUGAUACCUACCAAUCCUAGAAGAUCCUUUAGACUCAGUAAUCCCUCUUCAUACCUUAAAGAUUUCCAUUGCAACCUUCUAACAAAUUCCCAUCAGGCAUUUGACAAGUCUCCUUAUCCUCUUUCCAAUUAAAUUUCAUACAAGUCCUUUUCUCCUUCACAUCAUCAUUACUUGUUAUUUGUGUCAUUAGACUUUGAACCAUAAUAUUAUCAUCAAGCAGUGAAGUAUGACCAUUGGAAAGAUGAUAUCGCAGCUGAAUUGAAAGCAAUGGAAGUGAACAACACUUGGUCCAUUGGAAAAUUGCCCAAAGGAAAACACUUUAUAGGCUGCAGGUGGAUUUAUAAGAUCAAGUAUAAAUUAGAUGGUAGUAUAUGUAGAUACGAGGGACAUUUGGUGGCUAAGGGUACACUCAACAACAGUUGAUGUGUAAACUUCAUAAAUCUAUUUACAGUCUUAAACAAGCAUCGAGGCAGUGGUUCUCAAAGAUCCCAAAUGCACUUAUCGAUCAUGGUUUUCAUCAUUUAAAAUCUGAUUAUUCCUUGUUUACUAAGGGAUCUGGGAGUACCUUUAUUGCUCUUCUGGUUUAUGUUGAUGACAUUGUCAUCACUAGGCUAGACUACUAGGCCAUUGAGUCUUUAAAAGCCUUUCUAUACAGCCAAUUCAAAGCUUAUAGAUCUGGGACAGUUAAAGUAUUUCCUAGGUCUGGAAAUUGCCAAGUCUCACAAGGGUAUUUUUUUUUUUUUUAAUCUCGACAUCAUUAUGUUCUUUAACUUCUUCAAGAUAUUGGCUUUCUGGCUUGCAAACCUGCUGUAUUACUUAUGGAUCCCAAACUUCACCUUAAUUCCUUUAAGGGAGAUCUUCUUACUGAUCCAUCAAUGUAUAGAAGGCUAGUUGAUGGCUUAUUAUAUUUAACAAUUUCUCGCCCUGAUAUUACGUGUAGUUCACAAGCACAGUCAAUUUGUAUCCCAACCACAGCAACACCAUCUUGAUGCUGGGCAUCAUCUCCUACAAUCAUCAAAGCCACUCUUGGUCAAGGCUCCUUAUUUUCUUCAAAUUCCUCUCUCUGGCUUUGAGCAUUUUGUGAUGCAGACUGGGGUUCUUGCCUUGAUUCAAGAAAAUCCAUAAUCUGCUAUGUAUUUCGAUGGCAAUGGUAGGAGCGGUUGUCUCGACAAGCGACGAUAAAAAGUGUUGGGUGUGGAUAUACGAAAUUGGGGAGAAAUAGAUUAAAUGAUAGGUAGCGUAGGGUGAGGUAAGGUAAGGUGUGAUAUGUAAAAGAUAAAUAUAACUCUGAUUUCGAAUAAAUUUAAUGAAUGUUCAUCAUACUUUACCUUAUAUUAUUAUCUGUUCAUCGAACAAUAAAACAUAACCUAUUGUUCACCCAUCUUUUCAAGUAAUUAUCCCUUCAUAACUCAUUUGAUUUCCAUCAUCAUCAACUAAUGGAAUUAAUGAAAUGUGCCACGUGACGAAUGAAAAUACAACGUGGCAUGUAAUAGAAUUUAAAUCAGGCCAAUUGAUCGCAAAAAAGCCAAUGGCAAUUUCAUUUAUUUGUUCAAUAUGUAAAACACCAUUUUCCCCAAAAUCACUUCUUUUCAGUGUCGUCCCCAAAUCAAUGAACCCUAAAAAUCAACCCCAAAAUCAAGAGAAGCUCAAAAAAGUAUCAAAUAGCAAAGACUGUUGGGAACUAAAGCAAUUUGGUAAAAGGGAAGCUUAUUGUCCGAUUCUUCAAUUGGAUAAUACCUUUGUUAAGAAAGUUAUGGAGAAGGAAACAAAUUGCGAUUCGUACGAUAAGGAUGAUAUCGUCUCAGAACACUAUAAUAUCUUACUUUUAUGGAACUUAUUUGAUCAUCAAACAUCCUGCUCCAAUACUGCGAUGUUAGAUAACAUUAUAAUUUCUUGCUUUCCUGCUCCAAUGACGUGAGGCUCCACUGCAAAUCCCUUGCAAUUAGUUCCAUCUUCUAUUUCCAAAGAUUUUGAUUUUGUUCAGGAUUAGGUAGACUCUGAUUAUUCAAAUUGGAAUUUCGAUCUUUGGUUUCAUGUUAGGGAGAAUUUGAUGCUGAUGAAAGUAAAUGAGGGAUCCUGUUGUGUUAAGAGAA